AGCUGCUGUAUGGGAGAAGGGUCCGCGGACCCCUAGAUCUCAUUAGAGGUCACUGGGAGGGGGAGACAGAGCAGGAAGGGACCCCCAUAGUACCAUAUGUUCUGGAACUCCGGGACCGCAUGGAGAAACUGUCCCUGAUGGUAAGGGAGAAUCUCCAGGCGGCCCAGGGGAGACAGAAGAGAUGGUACGAUCAGGGCGCCCGACAGCGGGUCUUCCAGGUUG
This is a non-coding RNA of Pelobates cultripes (western spadefoot toad), 222 nucleotides long. The record is from the annotation of a GenBank genome assembly. NCBI's taxonomy places the organism in Eukaryota, Metazoa, Chordata, Amphibia, Anura, Pelobatidae.